CGAAUGGGGAAACCCACCACUUUAUGUGGUACUUUAAACUGAAUACAUAGGUUUAAAGAGACAACCUGGAGAACUGAAACAUCUAAGUAACCAGAGGAAAAGAAAUCAAUUGAGAUUCCGUUAGUAGUGGCGAGCGAACGCGGACUAGGCCAGUAAUUUUGUUAAAAAAAUUUGAAUAGUUUGGAAAUGCUAACCAUAGAGGGUGAUAGUCCCGUAUGAGUAAUGUUUAACAAAAUUCUUGAGUAAAGCGGGACACGAGAAAUCCUGCUCGAAUAUAGGGGGACCACCCUCUAAGCCUAAAUACUCUU
RNAcentral lists this ribosomal RNA (308 nucleotides) under uncultured bacterium. RNAcentral's name for it is "bacterial LSU rRNA". It matches the Rfam family "Bacterial large subunit ribosomal RNA", at positions 115 to 477 of the family's 2925-position model. The record is from RNAcentral.